UACGAAGGGGGCUAGCGUUGCUCGGAAUCACUGGGCGUAAAGCGCACGUAGGCGGAUUGUUAAGUCAGGGGUGAAAUCCUGGAGCUCAACUCCAGAACUGCCUUUGAUACUGGCGAUCUCGAGUCCGGGAGAGGUGAGUGGAACUGCGAGUGUAGAGGUGAAAUUCGUAGAUAUUCGCAAGAACACCAGUGGCGAAGGCGGGUCUCUGGACAGUUCCUGACGCUGAGGCACGAAGGCCAGGGGAGCAAACGGG
Molecule: ribosomal RNA, 253 nt
Filed under: uncultured bacterium
Lineage: Bacteria
Description: partial 16S ribosomal RNA
Rfam family: Bacterial small subunit ribosomal RNA
Source: RNAcentral